This 433-nucleotide ribosomal RNA is filed under the name uncultured bacterium. Its description in RNAcentral is "partial 16S ribosomal RNA". It matches the Rfam family "Bacterial small subunit ribosomal RNA", at positions 29 to 507 of the family's 1533-position model. The record is from RNAcentral.
AACGAACGCUGGCGGCAUGCCUAACACAUGCAAGUCGAACGAGACCUUCGGGUCUAGUGGCGCACGGGUGCGUAACGCGUGGGAACCUGCCCUUAGGUUCGGAAUAACUCCCCGAAAGGGGUGCUAAUACCGGAUAAUGCCUUCGGACCAAAGAUUUAUCGCCUUUGGAUGGGCCCGCGUUGGAUUAGCUAGUUGGUAGGGUAAAAGCCUACCAAGGCGACGAUCCAUAGCUGGUCUGAGAGGAUGAUCAGCCACACUGGGACUGAGACACGGCCCAGACUCCUACGGGAGGCAGCAGUGGGGAAUAUUGGACAAUGGGCGAAAGCCUGAUCCAGCAAUGCCGCGUGAGUGAUGAAGGCCUUAGGGUUGUAAAGCUCUUUUACCCGGGAUGAUAGUGACAGUACCGGGAGAAUAAGCUCCGGCUAACUCCGUG